This 760-nucleotide ribosomal RNA is filed under the name uncultured fungus. RNAcentral's name for it is "SSU rRNA". It matches the Rfam family "Eukaryotic small subunit ribosomal RNA", at positions 323 to 1083 of the family's 1831-position model. The record is from RNAcentral. Lineage: Eukaryota; Fungi.
CGAUGGUAGGAUAGAGCCUCCAUGGUGAUGACGGGUAACGGGGAAUAAGGGUUCGAUUCCGGAGAGAGGGCCUGAGAAACGGCCCUCAGGUCUAAGGACACGCAGCAGGCGCGCAAAUUAUCCCCUGGCAACACUUUGCCGAGAUAGUGACAAUAAAUAACAAUGCAGGGCUCUUACGGGUCUUGCAAUUGGAAUGAGUACAAUUUAAAUCCCUUAACGAGGAUCAAUUGGAGGGCAAGUCUGGUGCCAGCAGCCGCGGUAAUUCCAGCUCCAAUAGCGUAUAUUAAAAUUGUUGCCGUUAAAAAGCUCGUAGUCGAACUUCGGGCUCUGUCAGCCGGUCCGCCUUCUUGGUGUGUACUUGUUUGACGGAGCCUUACCUCCUGGUGAACGGCAAUGUCCUUUACUGGGUGUCGUCGCAAACCAGGACUUUUACUUUGAAAAAAUUAGAGUGUUCAAAGCAGGCCUUUGCCCGAAUACAUUAGCAUGGAAUAAUAAAAUAGGACGCGCGUUCCCAUUUUGUUGGUUUCUGAGAUCGCCGUAAUGAUUAAUAGGGAUAGUUGGGGGCAUUUGUAUUCCGUCGUCAGANGUGAAAUUCUUGGAUUGCCNGAAGACAAAACUACUGCGAAAGCAUUUGCCAAGGAUGUUUUCAUUGAUCAAGAACGAAAGGAAGGGGGAUCGAAAACGAUUAGAUCCCGUUGGAGUCUCUUCUGUAAACUAUGCCAAUUGGGGAUCGGUCCAGGAUUUUUAAUGACUGUAUCGG